Molecule: ribosomal RNA, 239 nt
Filed under: uncultured bacterium
Lineage: Bacteria
Description: partial 16S ribosomal RNA
Rfam family: Bacterial small subunit ribosomal RNA
Source: RNAcentral
GAUCUGGCUCAGGAUGAACGCUGACAGAAUGCUUAACACAUGCAAGUCUACUUGAACUUCGGUUUGGGUGGCGGACGGGUGAGUAACGCGUAAAGAACUUGCCUCACAGUUAGGGACAACAUUUGGAAACGAAUGCUAAUACCUGAUAUUAUGAUUUUAGGGCAUCCUAAGAUUAUGAAAGUUAUAUACGCUGUGAGAGAGCUUUGCGUCCCAUUAGCUAGUUGGAGAGGUAACGGCUC